AUUAUUUGCUUAUAUAAUUUAAAAAAUAGAAAUUAUAUAUAUAUAUAUAUAUAUAUAUAGAGAGAGAGAGAGAGAGAGUUGAGCUAGAAUACUAUCGAUAGCAAAUGGGCUCCGUUGCCAUCCAUUUGUUUUUGAUGAUGGGGCCUCUAAAUCGACGAUCUGAAUCGUUGAACAUGAUCUAUACCACUUGAAAUGUUUAGAAAUCAAAUUUCAUGCAUUUUCGACGUUAUUCUCUUAUCCAUCGAGUGGACACAAAAAUGAACGGCUGAAAAUAAAUAUUUUUUAAAAAAUAAUGAUAGGAAUCUUGUAAUCAAGAUCAAGAGUAUAGAUCUUGUUUUAAAUAGUUUAAAGAAUUUUUUAACAAAAAUUCAAUUGAUUUGAAUAUCUUUACACCGUUAAACGAGAAAACGUCUCGUAUCGACCAUUAAAAUUACAAAUUUUGAAACCAUUUGAUCAUUAGGCAAAUGAUGUCGAAAAGAUUUAAAAUUUGAUUUCUAAACACUUCAAGUGGUAUAGAUAAUGUUCAAUGGUACUGAUCGUUGAUUUGGAGGCUCUAUCAUCAAAAAUAUAUGGGUGGCAACGAAGCUCGCUUACUAUCAAUAGUAUUCUAGCUCAACUCUCUCUCUAUAUAUAUAUAUAUAUAAUAAAAUCUGUCUUUUAAAAAAUCUAGAAAAGUAUUUAUAAUAAAUUAUUUCAUU
RNAcentral lists this long non-coding RNA (698 nucleotides) under Ananas comosus (pineapple). Its description in RNAcentral is "long non-coding RNA (ACOM_LNC025431)". Lineage: Eukaryota; Viridiplantae; Streptophyta; Magnoliopsida; Poales; Bromeliaceae. The record is from RNAcentral.